CGUACACUCCUACGGGAGGCAGCAGUGGGGAAUAUUGGACAAUGGGCGCAAGCCUGAUCCAGCCAUGCCGCGUGAGUGAUGAAGGCCCUAGGGUUGUAAAGCUCUUUCACCGGUGAAGAUAAUGACGGUAACCGGAGAAGAAGCCCCGGCUAACUUCGUGCCAGCAGCCGCGGUAAUACGAAGGGGGCUAGCGUUGUUCGGAUUUACUGGGCGUAAAGCGCACGUAGGCGGACUAUUAAGUCAGGGGUGAAAUCCCGGGGCUCAACCCCGGAACUGCCUUUGAUACUGGUAGUCUUGAGUUCGAGAGAGGUGAGUGGAAUUCCGAGUGUAGAGGUGAAAUUCGUAGAUAUUCGGAGGAACACCAGUGGCGAAGGCGGCUCACUGGCUCGAUACUGACGCUGAGGUGCGAAAGCGUGGGGAGCAAACAGGAUUAGAAACCCGGGUAGUCCCAUGA
Molecule: ribosomal RNA, 454 nt
Filed under: uncultured organism
Description: partial 16S ribosomal RNA
Rfam family: Bacterial small subunit ribosomal RNA
Source: RNAcentral